This 490-nucleotide long non-coding RNA is filed under the name Anas platyrhynchos platyrhynchos (common mallard). Its description in RNAcentral is "lncRNA (ENSAPLG00000023361.1)". Lineage: Eukaryota; Metazoa; Chordata; Aves; Anseriformes; Anatidae. The record is from RNAcentral.
GUUGCUAAAAAUACAUAUUUUAAAGGUGAACUUUUCUUUCCAUUUUAUACAGUGGCUCAACCAAUCACAGCAAAUGUUAACCGUAAAGUACUCAGUCUCACGUAACCCAGACAGCUCAGUGCUCUGUGAAGCAAAAGGAACAAAAUUCCUCAAGUUCAUUGAACUUUCCAGCUGGAGACACAUGCUGCUAACUGAUGUGGAGCAAGAUGAAAGGGGUGGGUGCCAGGAGACAUUUUGUGGUAUGCACCAAGUGCUCAUGCGCCUUUCAAAUCCAGAAAGCUUCAGGAGGCCCCAGCUAGCCCUCAGCACAAAGCUUCCCCAUGAUGACCAUGGCUGCAACCCAAGCUCAGCUGCCCCAUGGCGGUGCUGCUCACAGGAGACAGGGUCCAGCUGUCCGUCACAGCCUGUGAUGCCAAACACGGGGAUCAGCACUGUGAGUAUAUCUGCAAUUUCUCCAUUAGCAGUACGUUCACUACUCUGUGCAGUCUAG